AUAUUAUAAUAUUGUAAUAAUAAUUCCUAUUAUAAUAAUACUAAUUAUUAUUAUUACUAUCUUAUUGAUUAUGUAACAAUUAUAGUGAUAUUGAUAAGAAUAACAAUACAAAAAUAAUAUAUUUUAGGGGGUUAGUUUCCGGCGAUUGUAUAAACGUCGAAAAUUUUCGGCGGUUUAACCCGCCCCUAAUUAUUUUAAUCUAAUUCCCAAAAUAUCUAUCUGUGCCUCAUUUCUUCUGCCAUAAUCAUUUCCUAAAUAUCACAAGCUUAUCCUCUCUGCCUUCAUCUUCAAACCUUCGCUCUCUGCCUUCGUCUUCAAACCUUUGCUCCCUGCCUUCGUCCUCAAACCUUCUUUCUCUGCCUUCGUCCUCAAAUCCUAUUUUCUCGCUCAUUGCCUUCGUUUCCUCGCUCCCUAAAACUUCACCAGAACCAUUUUCCCCCAAAUUUCCUGCACCAUCUUCGUGUUGUUCUUCCUUGCUUGGGCUGAGAAUUCAUGUUUUGUUUACGCCAACAACGACGCCAUCAGAACUAGAGAGUUGUUUGUUCAUCAUCCUCUUCUCUUAGCAUUUGUGCAUUGACUGUUUCAGUGCUACUAGCUCCCUCUCUCGCAGCUUCCAUUUGCAAUUCAGGUUCUCUUUGAUCGGUGAGCUUCUCCUUCUUCCUUUUCUCUCUAAUCCUAUUCACUUCCUUUUAAUUUAGAACAUGAUGUUACUUGCUCUCUCUUUGCAGGGCUUUUCUUGCUCCUCAGAUUCCCAAUUCCAAUCGCGUCUCGCUAGAUCAGAGGGGGAAUUUCGGAAAAUAUUCCAAUUCCGCGUUUGGUUCGGUGGGUCUUAGGGAUGAAUUAAUUGAAUCACCUCGUUUAUAGCUGUGAGUUUUAAUUUCUUCUUCUUCCUCGGACCUGCCUUUGCUUCUUUUUCUUUUUUCUGUUUCUUUCCUUUCUCAGUUGAUGAACUGGAGUGUGGAGCUGUAAUUUUGCUUUUUCCUGUUUCUUGUUUUAGCUGAGACUUCCUUUUCGAUUCUCUUGUCCCUGAAGUGAAAUUCAAGCUUCGAUGUGGGUUUUAUGUUGUUAUUGCUUUAUGUCUGCAUGUUGUGUGUUUCCGGAUUUCAAUUUUGUUGUUAUACGCUAUGUUGGUUGACAUGUUGAUCCAUGGUCGGCAUUACUCAGUAUUGUUCAUUUUUGGCUCAGCUCAGGUAUUGUUAUGGCUAAAGAUAUAUGCAACUUUUAGGAGUUCAGAUUUUCUACUGCUUUUUUGGUGCUAUUCUUACAUAUAUAGAAGCUCUUUCAUAUAUUUUUUCUAAAUUUUUAAUUUUAACAUGGCACAAGUUAAUUUUAAUUUAUGGAGAAACUCGUUUAAUUUUUUCUUUUUCUAAAAGUCCUAUGAAGAAACUUGUUACGUAUCAAUUAGGAAGUUAGUUGAUGUAGCUUCCACAUGGCACAUUGUUUUUUGUUGUUCUAGUAAAUUUAUAUGUAGCUUAUGUCC
This 1480-nucleotide long non-coding RNA is filed under the name Vigna radiata. Its description in RNAcentral is "long non-coding RNA (VRAD_LNC017861)". The record is from RNAcentral. Lineage: Eukaryota; Viridiplantae; Streptophyta; Magnoliopsida; Fabales; Fabaceae.